AGCGGGAGUAGCUCAGUUGGUAGAGCAUCAGCCUUCCAAGCUGAGGGUCGCGGGUUCGAGUCCCGUCUCCCGCUCCAA
RNAcentral lists this transfer RNA (78 nucleotides) under Coprothermobacter proteolyticus DSM 5265. RNAcentral's name for it is "tRNA-Gly". It matches the Rfam family "tRNA". From Rfam's summary of the family: Transfer RNA (tRNA) molecules are approximately 80 nucleotides in length. Their secondary structure includes four short double-helical elements and three loops (D, anti-codon, and T loops). The record is from RNAcentral. Lineage: Bacteria; Pseudomonadati; Coprothermobacterota; Coprothermobacteria; Coprothermobacterales; Coprothermobacteraceae.